AUGAACAGAGUAACUUCAGAUUACAUCACAGGAGAUUCCCUUGAUGAACUAUUGUCGAAACUUAUCAGGAGCAUGGAGGCUGCCAAGGCUUCAAGGGGAGGUUUGCCAGAAAAGAUAUGGAUGAAGCAACAAUUUUCUGUUGGGGUCAACGACGUGACAAGGGUUCUCGAACGAAUGCCUGCUGCUGCUGCUUCUCGUUCUGGCUGUUCCACUGAAGCACCGACCAGCACAGCUAGGCGGAGAGCUCCUUUGGUGCCACUUCAGGUUACUAUUGUUUCUUAA
Molecule: ribosomal RNA, 282 nt
Filed under: Triticum aestivum (bread wheat)
Lineage: Eukaryota; Viridiplantae; Streptophyta; Magnoliopsida; Poales; Poaceae
Description: partial small subunit ribosomal RNA
Source: RNAcentral